GGGGGAUAGCUUAAAUGGAUAAAGCCCGGGCUAUACAAGCCUGCAGAUUUAGGUUCAAAUCCUAAUCCCCCUA
Molecule: transfer RNA, 73 nt
Filed under: Deltaproteobacteria bacterium
Lineage: Bacteria; Pseudomonadati; Myxococcota; Myxococcia
Description: tRNA-Val
Rfam family: tRNA
About the family: Transfer RNA (tRNA) molecules are approximately 80 nucleotides in length. Their secondary structure includes four short double-helical elements and three loops (D, anti-codon, and T loops). Further hydrogen bonds mediate the characteristic L-shaped molecular structure. tRNAs have two regions of fundamental functional importance: the anti-codon, which is responsible for specific mRNA codon recognition, and the 3' end, to which the tRNAs corresponding amino acid is attached (by aminoacyl-tRNA synthetases). tRNAs cope with the degeneracy of the genetic code in two manners: having more than one tRNA (with a specific anti-codon) for a particular amino acid; and 'wobble' base-pairing, i.e. permitting non-standard base-pairing at the 3rd anti-codon position.
Source: RNAcentral